GAUGAACGCUCGCGAUAGGCUUAACACAUGCAAGUCGAGGGGCAGCAUGGUCUUAGCUUGCUAAGACUGAUGGCGACCGGCGCACGGGUGCGUAACGCGUAUGCAACUUGCCUCACAGAGGGGGAUAACCCGUCGAAAGACGGACUAAUACCGCGUACACUCUAUUUUGGGCAUCCAAGGUAGAGGAAAUGAAAUUCGCUGUGAGAUAGGCAUGCGUCCCAUUAGCUAGUUGGUGAGGUAACGGCUCACCAAGGCGACGAUGGGUAGGGGAACUGAGAGGUUGAACCCCCACACUGGUACUGAGACACGGACCAGACUCCUACGGGAGGCAGCAGUGAGGAAUAUUGGUCAAUGGGCGAGGGCCUGAACCAGCCAAGUCGCGUGAAGGAUGACUGUCUUAUGGAUUGUAAACUUCUUUUGUAGGGGAAUAAAGAGGGGCACGUGUGCCCCAGUGAAUGUACCCUACGAAUAAGCAUCGGCUAACUCCGUG
This 490-nucleotide ribosomal RNA is filed under the name uncultured bacterium. RNAcentral's name for it is "partial 16S ribosomal RNA". It matches the Rfam family "Bacterial small subunit ribosomal RNA", at positions 28 to 507 of the family's 1533-position model. The record is from RNAcentral.